RNAcentral lists this long non-coding RNA (206 nucleotides) under Gossypium barbadense (sea-island cotton). RNAcentral's name for it is "long non-coding RNA (GBAR_LNC023456)". Lineage: Eukaryota; Viridiplantae; Streptophyta; Magnoliopsida; Malvales; Malvaceae. The record is from RNAcentral.
UCGGCUUCUAGCUUGUGGAUAUCGAUGUCUAAUCCCAAAUGCACUCUUUCUUCUUCUAACUGUUCUAUCCUCUUUCCCAACUCAGAAUUUCUUUUCUCAAAGUCUCGUUUGAUGAUCUCUAAUUCUGACGGAACUACUUGUAGAUGCUCUUCUAUAGACUGAACGCAAUCUUCCCUCGGCUUAGGGAUGUUGUCAUUGACUCUUUU